RNAcentral lists this ribosomal RNA (538 nucleotides) under Hoplosternus incanus. RNAcentral's name for it is "eukaryotic LSU rRNA". It matches the Rfam family "Eukaryotic large subunit ribosomal RNA", at positions 710 to 1209 of the family's 3401-position model. Lineage: Eukaryota; Metazoa; Arthropoda; Insecta; Coleoptera; Scarabaeidae. RNAcentral also lists the same sequence under 1 other name. The record is from RNAcentral.
AAAGGCGUAAUGAAAGUGAAGGUCCGCCCUGCGCGGACCGAGGGAGGAUGGGUGGACCCGAGGGGCCGCCCCGCACUCCCGGGGCGUCUCGUUCUCAUCGCGAGAAGAGGCGCACCCAGAGCGUACACGCUGGGACCCGAAAGAUGGUGAACUAUGCCUGGUCAGGACGAAGUCAGGGGAAACCCUGAUGGAGGUCCGUAGCGAUUCUGACGUGCAAAUCGAUCGUCGGAACUGGGUAUAGGGGCGAAAGACUAAUCGAACCAUCUAGUAGCUGGUUCCCUCCGAAGUUUCCCUCAGGAUAGCUGGCGCUCGCUUCUUGCGAGUCUCAUUCGGUAAAGCGAAUGAUUAGAGGCAUUGGGGUCGAAACGGCCUCAACCUAUUCUCAAACUUUAAAUGGGUGAGAUCUCCGGCUUGCUUGAACUGUGAAGCCGCGAGAUAUCGGAUCAGAGUGCCAAGUGGGCCACUUUUGGUAAGCAGAACUGGCGCUGUGGGAUGAACCAAACGCCGAGUUAAAGCGCCUAAAUCGACGCUUAUGGGA